Molecule: ribosomal RNA, 439 nt
Filed under: uncultured bacterium
Lineage: Bacteria
Description: bacterial SSU rRNA
Rfam family: Bacterial small subunit ribosomal RNA
Source: RNAcentral
ACGCGUGGAACCUUACCAGGUCUUGACAUCCCACUGACCGCUAUGGAGACAUAGCUUUCCCUUCGGGGACAGUGGUGACAGGUGGUGCAUGGUUGUCGUCAGCUCGUGUCGUGAGAUGUUGGGUUAAGUCCCGCAACGAGCGCAACCCUUGUUCUUAGUUGCCAUCAUUUAGUUGGGCACUCUAAGGAGACUGCCGGUGACAAACCGGAGGAAGGUGGGGAUGACGUCAAAUCAUCAUGCCCCUUAUGACCUGGGCUACACACGUGCUACAAUGGACGGUACAAACGGUUGCCAACCCGCGAGGGGGAGCUAAUCCGAUAAAACCGUUCUCAGUUCGGAUUGUAGGCUGCAACUCGCCUACAUGAAGCUGGAAUCGCUAGUAAUCGCGGAUCAGCAUGCCGCGGUGAAUACGUUCCCGGGCCUUGCACACACCGCCCGU